CAAAGCUCAGAAAACAGUGGUGAAGAUGAAGCUUCAGUCCAGCGCCGACAUGGAGGAUCCGGUCGCCAGCGCCAACCUGCUGAAGCAGCUGCAUGCAGCACUUGCUAAACGGGGACUGAGGGACUUCCAGCUGACCUGGAAGGAACUGCCGGUGAAGCAGAACGAGGAGAGUGACAGUAAAGAUAAAUGCUGACCCACUGAGCACAAGUCAAGCAAGAAAGCUGCACCACAUCUUACUGAAUGCUGUUAGGAAACUACUCUUUGAUUCUAUUUUAGGCUAAAGACUGAAGUCAGAGAAGCUCAGCAUAGAAAUGUUUUACUUAACGAGUUUUGUGUGCACAAAGUUUGCAGCUAUUUAAAUGUUUUAAUUAGUUUCUACAUGAUGGCAGUAGCUCUGUGACUUAAGGGGUUUUAAGUCAGGUGAUUUAAAUCAUGUAGACAUUAUAUUGUCCUUGUGUUUCCGUUAUUACUGAGUGCUAUUUUCAU
Molecule: long non-coding RNA, 486 nt
Organism: Stegastes partitus (bicolor damselfish)
Lineage: Eukaryota; Metazoa; Chordata; Actinopteri; Pomacentridae
Exons: 3
Source: RefSeq, a predicted model, not a curated record